Felis catus (domestic cat) is the source of this 433-nucleotide long non-coding RNA. RefSeq lists it as uncharacterized. The transcript is spliced from 3 exons. The record is from RefSeq and is a predicted model, not a curated record. Lineage: Eukaryota; Metazoa; Chordata; Mammalia; Carnivora; Felidae.
UUUUAAUCUAAUUCCGGGGACUGGAGAUAAAUCAUCGUGAAGGGUCCCGAUUUUCCGAGCCAAGAGCUUGCAGCGGCAGGAACAGCGAUGGCAUGCUAAGGGAACGGCUCUCCAGCAGCUUGCCAAGAAACAAGAGCUACCAUGCCGCUCUCCCGGCCUGCAGGAGCCCUGAGUGCAACGAGACUGUCUUUUCCUUCACCUGGCCUGGAGGAAAAGUGACAACCUAUCUUACAUUCUGACACUGCACCCUCCACCCACCGUGCCCCAAGAUGUACAAGCCCCUAACGAACUAAAGGGCGGCCAGAGCCUCAGCAAAGAGCAGCCCGCAAGAAGAAGAGAUGCCAGGGGCGCCUGGGUGGCACAGUCGGUUAAGCGUCCGACUUCAGCCAGGUCACGAUCUCGCGGUCCGUGAGUUCGAGCCCCGCGUCGGGCU